UGAACUUACAAAGUGAUAAAACUGAUUCCUUUUAUGAUAAAGGGAGAAAAAAAACACGUUGGAUACUGGGGAGCAGGAUAAAAUGAGUAUUAUUGGGGUUUCCCAAUCAGAACACAAACCAAUUCUGUCAUAUUAUGGAUGUGAGAAAUUACCCAGAGUAAAAUCAGGAACCUUACAGAGGGAAUAAUAAAUGGCCAAUAAAUGUGCUGUGAUCAUUGGAAUUGUCAUAAAUCCAGGUGUUUUCACGCAGUCUCAUGUAAACCUGGUCUCCAACUUCAAGCUGCAGAGUCAUCCCAUUGGUUGCUGUCUCAAAACGAUUUCCAAAAGGAUGGUUGUAGACAGUGACCAUCUGCUCU
Poecilia latipinna (sailfin molly) is the source of this 356-nucleotide long non-coding RNA. RefSeq lists it as uncharacterized. NCBI's taxonomy places the organism in Eukaryota, Metazoa, Chordata, Actinopteri, Cyprinodontiformes, Poeciliidae. The record is from RefSeq and is a predicted model, not a curated record. The transcript is spliced from 2 exons.